AGUUGUCUUGUGAACCAAUCAGUCUACCAACCAGCCAGUCAUCUUAUGAGCCCAUCAGCUUACCAACAAGCUAUUCAUCUUGUGAGCCCAUCAGCCUACCAACGUGCCAGUCAUUUUGUGAACCAAUCAGCCUCCCAAUCAGCAAUCCCUCUUUUGAAUAAAUCAGCCAACAAUCCAUCUUGUGAGCCAAGCAGCUAGCUAUCAACCUACCAACCAGCCAUUCACCCUGUAAGCCAGUCAUAGGCAACUAGCAAGGAGCCAGACAUCAGUGUUACUGGAAGUCUACACCAGUUGUUUUGUGGAUUAGCAGGAGAAAUGCCAAUGGUCACUUUACAAUGAGCAGGCUUCACGGACAAGAAGGUAGCACUUCCAGCUGUGGGAUCCAUGCCAUCGACGGAUGGGUUUUGGGAGAUUGAGGGCAAGAUAACCCUGGCAGCUUUGUACAUCA
Acanthaster planci (crown-of-thorns starfish) is the source of this 448-nucleotide long non-coding RNA. NCBI's taxonomy places the organism in Eukaryota, Metazoa, Echinodermata, Asteroidea, Valvatida, Acanthasteridae. The record is from RefSeq and is a predicted model, not a curated record.